AUACAAUUCUGAAUCUAAAAUAUAUUAACAUAAUCCAGUUUGUAUUCAUUUAUACAUUAUCACUUUUGGUGAUUCACAUUAUUUUGUACCUUUUGGUUUUUUCCUUUUUCUUGUCACUGUUGUUCUUUAAGUGUUUAUAAGGGAACACUUAUAAACCUAGGCUACUGUGUGUAUUAUAGCACUGACGGUUAACUGUUUGUUUUCUUAUGUAGCCCAUAGUGGCGUACACAUGACCCAUGGGGCCCCGGUGUGAAAAUUUAUCCGUGGGCCCACCCCGCGCGUGCCGGGCCGCAACACAUGGCGGUUGGCGCCUGGUCGCAGGGGUUACAGGGCUGCGACCGCGGUAUGUAUGCCAGUGCAUGCAG
This is a non-coding RNA of Pelobates cultripes (western spadefoot toad), 365 nucleotides long. Lineage: Eukaryota; Metazoa; Chordata; Amphibia; Anura; Pelobatidae. The record is from the annotation of a GenBank genome assembly.